UUCCGCAUCGGCUUCAUUGGCUUCACCGCUUGUUCCAAAUCCGUUAACACGUCAUACUACAUGUUAUGAUGUGAUAAAUCACAGUGUCAAUGUUUUAUGACAAACGUUCCUAUCAAAGUAUGAAUGAACCAGUCGUCAUGGUAGCAACGAUUCCAUUUUAAAGGAAGAUGCCACCAAAAUCCUUUUUUCAACCUACUCUAUAUCUUAGGAAAGAAAUCAUGCAUAUUCACAGGCACAAACACACACACACACACACACACACACACACACACACACACACACACACACACACACAUCAGAGAGCCAGGCUGAUUGGAUGGUGGAUGGCUGGAGUUGUUAUUACAGAGCAUCCAGCAGAGUCUGGUUUGCAGGAUAAGGAUGUCCUUACAGGGCAUUUCUCAGUAUGAACGAUGAGGAAACAGCCCCCUGUGUGUGUGUUCGUAAGUGUGUGUGAGAGCGAGAGAGUGAUAGAGAGAGACUGAGCCAGAGCCAGAGAGAAAGUUUGAAAGAGAGGAAUAGACAGACUGUGGACAGAUGCAUCUGUCUGCCUACAUAUUUUGGCCCACAAACAGAAAUCCUGGCAAUGCUUGCAAAAAGUGACUUUCCCCAUUGGACUAUUCGGUGCCAAAGGCUCGCCUGCAGAGAAAGAGACCGGAGAAUAAGAGAGGAACUCACAAGGCUUUACAUUCUGUU
Thunnus maccoyii (southern bluefin tuna) is the source of this 693-nucleotide long non-coding RNA. RefSeq lists it as uncharacterized. The record is from RefSeq and is a predicted model, not a curated record. Lineage: Eukaryota; Metazoa; Chordata; Actinopteri; Scombriformes; Scombridae. The transcript has 3 exons.